Molecule: unclassified non-coding RNA, 520 nt
Filed under: uncultured Glomus
Lineage: Eukaryota; Fungi; Glomeromycota; Glomeromycetes; Glomerales; Glomeraceae
Description: SSU rRNA
Rfam family: Eukaryotic small subunit ribosomal RNA
Source: RNAcentral
AGCAGCCGCGGUAAUUCCAGCUCCAAUAGCGUAUAUUAAAGUUGGUGCAGUUAAAAAGCUCGUAGUUGAAUUUCGGGAUCAAUAUGUUGGUCGUGCCUUGGUACGUACUGGCGUCAUUGAUUUCUACCUUCUGAAGAACCUCGAUGUCAUUAAUUUGGUGUCUUGGGGAAUCAGGACUGUUACUUUGAAAAAAUUAGAGUGUUUAAAGCAAGCUCACGCUUGAAUACAUUAGCAUGGAAUAAUGAAAUAGGACGUUUGAUUCUAUUUUGUUGGUUUCUAGGAUCGACGUAAUGAUUAAUAGGGAUAGUUGGGGGCAUUAGUAUUCAAUUGUCAGAGGUGAAAUUCUUGGAUUUAUUGAAGACUAACUACUGCGAAAGCAUUUGCCAAGGAUGUUUUCAUUAAUCAAGAACGAAAGUUAGGGGAUCGAAGACGAUCAGAUACCGUCGUAGUCUUAACCAUAAACUAUGCCGACUAGGGAUCGGAUGAUGUUAAUUUUUUCAAUGACUCAUUCGGCGCCUUA